UCCCCGAUGGUCCAGUGGUGAGACUCUGCAUUCCCGUUGUAGGGGUGCAGGUUCAAUUCCUGGUCGGGGAA
RNAcentral lists this transfer RNA (71 nucleotides) under Ovis aries (sheep). It matches the Rfam family "tRNA". From Rfam's summary of the family: Transfer RNA (tRNA) molecules are approximately 80 nucleotides in length. Lineage: Eukaryota; Metazoa; Chordata; Mammalia; Artiodactyla; Bovidae. The record is from Rfam by way of RNAcentral.